This is a non-coding RNA of Triticum aestivum (bread wheat), 126 nucleotides long. NCBI's taxonomy places the organism in Eukaryota, Viridiplantae, Streptophyta, Magnoliopsida, Poales, Poaceae. The record is from Rfam.
CAAUUACUCCCUCCGUCCGAAAAAGCUUGUCCCAAGCUUGUCUUUCAAAUGGAUGUAUCUAGCACUAACUUUGUGCUAGAUACAUCCAUUUGAGGGACAAGCUUCUUCAGACGGAGGGAGUACUAG